RNAcentral lists this ribosomal RNA (424 nucleotides) under uncultured bacterium. Its description in RNAcentral is "partial 16S ribosomal RNA". It matches the Rfam family "Bacterial small subunit ribosomal RNA", at positions 360 to 776 of the family's 1533-position model. The record is from RNAcentral.
AAUUUUGGACACUGGGGGAAACCCUGAUCCAGCCAUCCCGCGUGUGCGCUGAAGGCCUUCGGGUUGUAAAGCACUUUUGUCAGGUAAGAAAAGGUUCUGGCUAAUACCUGGAACUGAUGACGGUACCUGAAGAAUAAGCAUCGGCUAACUACGAUCUCGCAUCCGCGGUAAUACGGAGGGUGGAAGCGUUAAUCGGAAUUUCGUGGCGUAAAGCGUGCGCAGGCGGUUCGGAAAGAAGGAUGUGAAAUCCCAGGGCUCAACCUUGGAACUGCAUUCGUAACUACCGAACUAGAGUAUGUCAGAGGGGGGUAGAAUUCCGCGUGUAGCAGUGAAAUGCGUAGAUAUGCGGAGGAAUACCGAUGGCGAAGGCAGCCCUCUGGGAUAAUACUGACGCUCAUGCACGAAAGCGUGGGUAGCAAACAGG